CGGGGUGCAGCAGGCGCGAAAACUUUACAAUGCCGGCAACGGCGAUUAGGGAACCUCGAGUGCCAGGUUACAAAUCUGGCUGUCGUGAUGCCUAAAAAGCAUUGCAUAGCAAGGGCCGGGCAAGACCGGUGCCAGCCGCCGCGGUAACACCGGCGGCUCGAGUGGUAACCGUUAUUAUUGGGUCUAAAGGGUCUGUAGCCGGCCGGGUAGGUCUCUUGGGAAAUCUGGCAGCUUAACUGUCAGGCUUUCAGGAGAUACUGCCUGGCUCGAGGCCGGGAGAGGUGAGAGGUACUUCAGGGGUAGGGGUGAAAUCUUGUAAUCCUUGAAGGACCACCAGUGGCGAAGGCGUCUCACCAGAACGGACCUGACGGCAAGGGACGAAAGCUAGGGGCACGAACCGGAUUAGAUACCCGGGUAGUCCUAGCCGUAAACGAUACUCGCUAGGUGUCGGCCACGGUGCGACCGUGGUCGGUGCCGUAGGGAAGCCGUGAAGCGAGCCACCUGGGAAGUACGGCCGCAAGGCUGAAACUUAAAGGAAUUGGCGGGGGAGCAC
RNAcentral lists this ribosomal RNA (553 nucleotides) under uncultured archaeon. RNAcentral's name for it is "bacterial SSU rRNA". It matches the Rfam family "Archaeal small subunit ribosomal RNA", at positions 326 to 879 of the family's 1478-position model. The record is from RNAcentral.